AUUGAACGCUGGCGGCAGGCUUAACACAUGCAAGUCGAGCGAGCGGCGGACGGGUGAGUAAUGUCUGGGAAACUUCCUGAUGGAGGGGGAUAACUAAUGGAAACGGUAGCUAAUACAGCAUACCAUCGGAUGUUCCCAGAUGGGAUUAGCUAGUAGGGGGGGUAAGGCAUCACCUAGGCGACGAUCCCUAGCUGGUCUGAGAGGAGGACCAGCAACACUGGAACUGAGACACGGUCCAGACUCCUACGGGAGGCAGCAGUGGGGAAUAUUGCACAAUGGGCCCAAGCCUGAUGCAGCCAUGCCGCGUGUAUGAAGAAGGCCUGCGGGUUGUAAAGUACUUUCAGCGGGGAGGCGUUACCCGCAGAAGAAGCACCGGCUAACUCCGUGCCAGCAGCCGCGGUAAUAC
RNAcentral lists this ribosomal RNA (406 nucleotides) under uncultured bacterium. Its description in RNAcentral is "partial 16S ribosomal RNA". It matches the Rfam family "Bacterial small subunit ribosomal RNA", at positions 30 to 526 of the family's 1533-position model. The record is from RNAcentral.